RNAcentral lists this ribosomal RNA (148 nucleotides) under uncultured beta proteobacterium. RNAcentral describes it as "partial 16S ribosomal RNA". It matches the Rfam family "Bacterial small subunit ribosomal RNA", at positions 8 to 169 of the family's 1533-position model. The record is from RNAcentral. Lineage: Bacteria; Pseudomonadati; Pseudomonadota; Betaproteobacteria.
AGAGUUUGAUCCUGGCUCAGAGCGAACGCUGGCGGCAGGCCUAACACAUGCAAGUCGAACGAUCCUUCGGGAUAGUGGCGGACGGGUGAGUAACACGUGGGAACGUACCUUUUGGUUCGGGAUAACUAAGGGAAACUUUAGCUAAUAC